AGCUUUGCGCAGUGGCAGUAUCAUAGCCAAUGAGGUUAAUCCGAGGCGUGAUUAUUGCUAGUUGAAAACUUUUCCCAGUACCUAGCUCUUAUAUAGUGCUGGUCAUCAGUAGAUCUCCGAGGACUUUACAAAG
RNAcentral lists this small nuclear RNA (133 nucleotides) under Chelydra serpentina (North American snapping turtle). Its description in RNAcentral is "U4 spliceosomal RNA (ENSCSRG00000009361.1)". It matches the Rfam family "U4 spliceosomal RNA". From Rfam's summary of the family: U4 small nuclear RNA (U4 snRNA) is a component of the major U2-dependent spliceosome. The structure of U4 snRNA from yeast and human has been reported. U4 snRNA presents a k-turn RNA motif in the 5p-SL related to recognition of Snu13 protein. The record is from Rfam by way of RNAcentral. Lineage: Eukaryota; Metazoa; Chordata; Testudines; Chelydridae.